CGAUCCAAGAUCAUGCCAAACCGUCAACAAUCAGAUCCAGCUAACUGAGUUAGCGACGUACGAAGAACGGAGCCCUGAUCAUCAACUGCGGUCAAGUGAGCCCUCACUUGAUUUUGUUGGUCUCGCAAACACUAAGGAUUACGGCAGAGGCGGCUGAGACUACUUUUCAAAAUAAAAGCACUGACUACUUUUACUUACAGAUGACAGAUGAUGUUCUUCAGAACUUAUUCAUCAAACUGCAUCUACAUCAUUUGUGUUUUAAAAAUAAAGGCAUUUAAAAAUCUCUA
Fundulus heteroclitus (mummichog) is the source of this 287-nucleotide long non-coding RNA. RefSeq lists it as uncharacterized. The record is from RefSeq and is a predicted model, not a curated record. The transcript is spliced from 2 exons. Lineage: Eukaryota; Metazoa; Chordata; Actinopteri; Cyprinodontiformes; Fundulidae.